CUUAAUGGUGCCUCUACAAUGGGUUUCAGAUUUGAUCUAAUCAAAUUCAGUUCUAUGGAUUCUCUAGAUUGUGUCAAUUUUUUUACCUGUCAAACUUCAUAAGUUCCACAUUAAAGACAUCAAUACCUUCACCGAGGUACUCUUUUUCUAAAAGAAAUACCGAACAACUCUUGUUCUUUAGCAUGGUAAAAGUUAUAUCCCCUAGAUUCUUUGGAAUAUCCUACAAAAUAAUACAUAUAAGAUUAGGAUCCAAGCUAAUCGAUCUGCAAAUGCUCGACAUAAACUAAACACUCCCAAACCCCAAAGUAAGAAAGUAUCGACUUAUGCUUAGUCUAUAUCUCAUAUGGAGUCCUCACAACUGAUUAAUUCAGAAUUCAGUUCAAAAUAUAACAAAUAGUCUUAAGAGCAUAACCUUAAAUAGAGACUGACAGACUUGUAAAUCCCAUCAUGGAUCGAACUAUGUCUAACAAAGUCGAUUCCAAUAGGAGAGAAUCCUAUUCUCUUUUAGAUAUGUCAAAACUUACUUAAAAUGCAUUCUCCUCUUCGGUCUGAC
RNAcentral lists this long non-coding RNA (553 nucleotides) under Elaeis guineensis (African oil palm). RNAcentral's name for it is "long non-coding RNA (EGUI_LNC033077)". Lineage: Eukaryota; Viridiplantae; Streptophyta; Magnoliopsida; Arecales; Arecaceae. The record is from RNAcentral.